Molecule: ribosomal RNA, 492 nt
Filed under: uncultured bacterium
Lineage: Bacteria
Description: partial 16S ribosomal RNA
Rfam family: Bacterial small subunit ribosomal RNA
Source: RNAcentral
AGUGAACGCUGGCGGUAGGCCUAACACAUGCAAGUCGAACGGCAGCACAGUAAGAGCUUGCUCUUACGGGUGGCGAGUGGCGGACGGGUGAGGAAUACAUCGGAAUCUACUUUUUCGUGGGGGAUGACGUAGGGAAACUUACGCUAAUACCGCAUACGACCUACGGGUGAAAGCAGGGGAUCUUCGGACCUUGCGCGAUUGAAUGAGCCGAUGUCGGAUUAGCUAGUUGGCGGGGUAAAGGCCCACCAAGGCGACGAUCCGUAGCUGGUCUGAGAGGAUGAUCGGCAACAUUGGAACGGAGACACGGCCCAGACUCCUACGGGAGGCAGCAGUGGGGAAUAUUGAACAAUGGGCGAAAGCCUGACCGAGCAACGCCGCGUGGGUGAAGAAGGCCUUCGGUUUGUAAACCUCUUUUGUGGGGAAAAAAAAGAAGCGGUUAAAACCCCGGUUGUCUUGACGGUACCAAAAAAAAAAGCCCCGGCUAACUUCGUG